AAAAUAAAAUUUGAUUUUAAAAAAAUUUAAUUCUUAAACUAGGAUUAGAUACCCUAUUAUUUUAAGCUUAAUGUUGGUAGUAAGUAAAAAUUAUGAAAUCAUAAAAUUUUGGCGGUAUUUUAAGCUUGUUAGAGGAAUUUGCUCUAUAAUGGAUACAACGCCUAUAUCUUACUUAAUUUUGUAAUUAAAGUCAGUUUGUAUACCACUAUAUUUAAUUAUAUUGAAUAAUUAUAUUUAAGAUUUUUAUACAAAUAUAUAUUAAGUCAAGGUGCAACAAAUAAUUA
Molecule: ribosomal RNA, 284 nt
Filed under: Ixodes ricinus (castor bean tick)
Lineage: Eukaryota; Metazoa; Arthropoda; Arachnida; Ixodida; Ixodidae
Description: partial small subunit ribosomal RNA
Source: RNAcentral